AGCGGCGGACGGGUGAGUAACGCGUGGGUAACCUGCCUCAUACAGGGGGAUAACAGUUGGAAACGGCUGCUAAUACCGCAUAAGCGCACAGUACCGCAUGGUACCGUGUGAAAAACUCCGGUGGUAUGAGAUGGACCCGCGUCUGAUUAGGUAGUUGGCGGGGUAACGGCCUACCAAGCCGACGAUCAGUAGCCGACCUGAGAGGGUGACCGGCCACAUUGGGACUGAGACAUGGCCCAA
Molecule: ribosomal RNA, 240 nt
Filed under: uncultured bacterium
Lineage: Bacteria
Description: partial 16S ribosomal RNA
Rfam family: Bacterial small subunit ribosomal RNA
Source: RNAcentral